Molecule: long non-coding RNA, 621 nt
Filed under: Marmota monax (woodchuck)
Lineage: Eukaryota; Metazoa; Chordata; Mammalia; Rodentia; Sciuridae
Source: RNAcentral
AACCAGGGCUACAGACAAUCUCUUACGGUUACAUAAUGUAAAAAUCUCAAGUGCAGGAAGUCACCAUAAAUGACUUCCACUUAGCAAAGGUAAAUGUUUCCUUCUCAGGGGCCCUGGCCUCUGCUUAGGUGGGCACCUGAUUUACAAAACUGUCCUAUAAAAUUGAAGGGGACACUUGGGAUUUAUACCUAUUAAAAAGGUUUAGUUUCAACAAAAAAAGGAAAAAAAGAAAGAAAAAAGGUUUAGUUUCAUGUAGCAUCUUGCUCACAAUGUAUUUUUCAGGCCUUUGCUCGUGGUGCUGUGGAUCGAACCCCAGGCUUCACACAUGCUUGGCAAAUAAUCUGCCGCUGAGCCCCAGCCCCAGCCCCAGCCUUUGCUUUUAAUACUCAUAAAGAUAACCUCUGUGUGACAGUCCUGUCCUGUGGAUCAUCUGCAUUGGGACUGUCCACAGUCUACCUGCAGUGUUUCUUGCUUUGACUACAAAACUGCCCCUGCCAUAUUCCCUCCUUGGUUUUACUUUUGAGAGGAUGGUCUUUCUUCCUGUAAUUUAUUUUUGAAUCCAACACAGGGCUUAGCAGUUUCUGAGACAUAACAUUCAAAUAAGGUUUAUUUUCAGAAUGU